This 459-nucleotide ribosomal RNA is filed under the name uncultured bacterium. RNAcentral describes it as "partial 16S ribosomal RNA". It matches the Rfam family "Bacterial small subunit ribosomal RNA", at positions 338 to 795 of the family's 1533-position model. The record is from RNAcentral.
CCUACGGGUGGCAGCAGUGAGGAAUAUUGGUCAAUGGCCGAGAGGCUGAACCAGCCAAGUCGCGUGAGGGAAGACGUCCCUACGUGUUGUAAACCUCUUUUGUCGGGGAGCAAAGCGAGUCACGUGUGCCUCAUUGCGAGUCCCCGAAGAAAAAGCAUCGGCUAACUCCGUGCCAGCAGCCGCGGUAAUACGGAGGAUUCGAGCGUUAUCCGGAUUUAUUGGGUUUAAAGGGUGCGCAGGCGGAGGUGCAAGUCAGCGGUCAAAUGGCGGGGCUCAACCUCGUAAUGCCGUGGAAACUGCAUCACUUGAGUGCGCGAGAAGUAUGCGGAAUGCGUGGUGUAGCGGUGAAAUGCAUAGAUAUCACGCAGAACUCCGAUUGCGAAGGCAGCAUACCGGCGCGCAACUGACGCUCAUGCACGAAAGCGUGGGUAUCGAACAGGAUUAGAUACCCUGGUAGUC